RNAcentral lists this transfer-messenger RNA (246 nucleotides) under Veillonella sp. It matches the Rfam family "transfer-messenger RNA". From Rfam's summary of the family: Bacterial tmRNA, also known as 10Sa RNA or SsrA, is named for its dual tRNA and mRNA-like properties. Its role is to liberate the mRNA from a stalled ribosome. The record is from RNAcentral. Lineage: Bacteria; Bacillati; Bacillota; Negativicutes; Veillonellales; Veillonellaceae.
GGGGAUGUAAAGGUUUCGACAGGGGUGCGUGUGGUAUAGAUAGCGAGUCGGCGUUCCAUGAGGCCGUUAAACGGUGGGAAAACAUUUAAUCAGUUGUUCAUAUGAAUUAGGCGAGACAACAUGAACUGGGGUUGUGUAGCUUGUCUGUGAGCAGUAGCAACCUGAGAUCUUAAUCAUAGACUGUGCUCGGAGAAGUCUAUAUGGCAACACUUUUGGACAGGGGUUCGACUCCCCUCAUCUCCACCA